CCACCCGAUUCGUGGCCUAUCCCCCUCAGUGGGUUUGUGCCAUUACCUGAGGCUUCAUCAUCAUCAUCAUCAUCAAUCCCCCACUGCAGUACAUUUAUCGAAUGUGCCAGCGAAGGUAGAACGAUGCUCCCACUCAUACUUUUCAGCUUGGUAUCUGGAAGCUUGCUAGGGGGCUACGGCGAUUGUGUGAUGGACAGUGUGUUAAACGAGAACAGCUCCCUGAAGGCAAGAUACCCACUAAAUGUCGCGAUAGGGCCACCGACCAUAUCGAGAUGUUUGUCCUUUGGACAUGGAGCUUAUGUUUGGACCGCCAUGCUUGUCGUGGCCGCACUUUUGAAGGCAGUGGUGACCAGGGACCUGAAAAAAUUCGUGAAGAGUAGAAGUGGUCGCAAGUUGUGCCUGCUGCAUGAGCUCGAACGAUCAAAGUAUUACCUUGUCGGGGACUUCGCGCUCUGCGCGCUCCCGUUGAUGGAUGCUGAGAACUAUGCCGUUUGCCAUGGUGGUUUGUUAUGUGUUUACGUCUUAUGCUCAAGUAGUCUGAUCGCGACGAAGGCCACAGCACUGAAGAGAGUGUGUGUUGAGGGCGUAGCAAGGGCCGCCAGCAACUUCGUAAGGCUGGCUACAUUACCUGCGGCCGUUUUCCUGAUCAGCUCGGGCUCCUUCAAGGAAUACGUUUCCGCAUUCGC
RNAcentral lists this long non-coding RNA (686 nucleotides) under Dermacentor andersoni. RNAcentral's name for it is "uncharacterized LOC126533703". The record is from RNAcentral. Lineage: Eukaryota; Metazoa; Arthropoda; Arachnida; Ixodida; Ixodidae.